UGUCCGGGAUUUAAAGGUUAAUUAAAUGACAAUACUAAACAUGUAGUACCGACGGUCGAGGCUUUUCGGACGGGGGUUCAAAUCCCCCCAGCUCCACCA
Molecule: transfer-messenger RNA, 99 nt
Filed under: Rheinheimera sp.
Lineage: Bacteria; Pseudomonadati; Pseudomonadota; Gammaproteobacteria; Chromatiales; Chromatiaceae
Description: partial transfer-messenger RNA
Rfam family: transfer-messenger RNA
About the family: Bacterial tmRNA, also known as 10Sa RNA or SsrA, is named for its dual tRNA and mRNA-like properties. Its role is to liberate the mRNA from a stalled ribosome.
Source: RNAcentral